RNAcentral lists this ribosomal RNA (119 nucleotides) under Nelumbo nucifera (sacred lotus). Lineage: Eukaryota; Viridiplantae; Streptophyta; Magnoliopsida; Proteales; Nelumbonaceae. The record is from RNAcentral.
GGGUGCGAUCAUACGAGCACUAAAGCACCGGAUCCCAUCAGAACUCUGAAGUUAAGCAUGCUAGGGCGGUAGUAGUAUUAGGAUGGGUGACCUCCUAGGAAGUCCUCGUGUUGCACCCC